RNAcentral lists this ribosomal RNA (2900 nucleotides) under Klebsiella aerogenes. RNAcentral's name for it is "bacterial LSU rRNA". It matches the Rfam family "Bacterial large subunit ribosomal RNA". RNAcentral also lists the same sequence under 2 other names. Lineage: Bacteria; Pseudomonadati; Pseudomonadota; Gammaproteobacteria; Enterobacterales; Enterobacteriaceae. The record is from RNAcentral.
UUAAGCGACUAAGCGUACACGGUGGAUGCCCUGGCAGUCAGAGGCGAUGAAGGACGUGCUAAUCUGCGAAAAGCGUCGGUAAGGUGAUAUGAACCGUUAUAACCGGCGAUGUCCGAAUGGGGAAACCCAGUGCAAUUCGUUGCACUAUCGUUAACUGAAUACAUAGGUUAACGAGGCGAACCGGGGGAACUGAAACAUCUAAGUACCCCGAGGAAAAGAAAUCAACCGAGAUUCCCCCAGUAGCGGCGAGCGAACGGGGAGCAGCCCAGAGUCUGAAUCAGCUUGUGUGUUAGUGGAACGGUCUGGAAAGUCCGACGGUACAGGGUGAUAGUCCCGUACACCAAAAUGCACAGGCUGUGAACUCGAAGAGUAGGGCGGGACACGUGGUAUCCUGUCUGAAUAUGGGGGGACCAUCCUCCAAGGCUAAAUACUCCUGACUGACCGAUAGUGAACCAGUACCGUGAGGGAAAGGCGAAAAGAACCCCGGCGAGGGGAGUGAAAAAGAACCUGAAACCGUGUACGUACAAGCAGUGGGAGCACCUUCGGGUGUGACUGCGUACCUUUUGUAUAAUGGGUCAGCGACUUAUAUUCUGUAGCAAGGUUAACCGUAUAGGGGAGCCGCAGGGAAACCGAGUCUUAACUGGGCGUUAAGUUGCAGGGUAUAGACCCGAAACCCGGUGAUCUAGCCAUGGGCAGGUUGAAGGUUGGGUAACACUAACUGGAGGACCGAACCGACUAAUGUUGAAAAAUUAGCGGAUGACUUGUGGCUGGGGGUGAAAGGCCAAUCAAACCGGGAGAUAGCUGGUUCUCCCCGAAAGCUAUUUAGGUAGCGCCUCGUGAAUUCAUCUUCGGGGGUAGAGCACUGUUUCGGCUAGGGGGUCAUCCCGACUUACCAACCCGAUGCAAACUACGAAUACCGAAGAAUGUUAUCACGGGAGACACACGGCGGGUGCUAACGUCCGUCGUGAAGAGGGAAACAACCCAGACCGCCAGCUAAGGUCCCAAAGUCAUGGUUAAGUGGGAAACGAUGUGGGAAGGCACAGACAGCCAGGAUGUUGGCUUAGAAGCAGCCAUCAUUUAAAGAAAGCGUAAUAGCUCACUGGUCGAGUCGGCCUGCGCGGAAGAUGUAACGGGGCUAAACCAUGCACCGAAGCUGCGGCAGCGACACUAUGUGUUGUUGGGUAGGGGAGCGUUCUGUAAGCCUGCGAAGGUGACCUGUGAGGGUUGCUGGAGGUAUCAGAAGUGCGAAUGCUGACAUAAGUAACGAUAAAGCGGGUGAAAAGCCCGCUCGCCGGAAGACCAAGGGUUCCUGUCCAACGUUAAUCGGGGCAGGGUGAGUCGACCCCUAAGGCGAGGCCGAAAGGCGUAGUCGAUGGGAAACAGGUUAAUAUUCCUGUACUUGGUGUUACUGCGAAGGGGGGACGGAGAAGGCUAUGUUAGCCGGGCGACGGUUGUCCCGGUUUAAGCAUGUAGGCUGGUUGUCCAGGCAAAUCCGGAUAAUCAAGGCUGAGGUGUGAUGACGAGGCACUACGGUGCUGAAGUAACAAAUGCCCUGCUUCCAGGAAAAGCCUCUAAGCAUCAGGUAACAUCAAAUCGUACCCCAAACCGACACAGGUGGUCAGGUAGAGAAUACCAAGGCGCUUGAGAGAACUCGGGUGAAGGAACUAGGCAAAAUGGUGCCGUAACUUCGGGAGAAGGCACGCUGGUGUGUAGGUGAAGUCCCUGCGGAUGGAGCUGAGACCAGUCGAAGAUACCAGCUGGCUGCAACUGUUUAUUAAAAACACAGCACUGUGCAAACACGAAAGUGGACGUAUACGGUGUGACGCCUGCCCGGUGCCGGAAGGUUAAUUGAUGGGGUUAUCCGUAAGGAGAAGCUCUUGAUCGAAGCCCCGGUAAACGGCGGCCGUAACUAUAACGGUCCUAAGGUAGCGAAAUUCCUUGUCGGGUAAGUUCCGACCUGCACGAAUGGCGUAAUGAUGGCCAGGCUGUCUCCACCCGAGACUCAGUGAAAUUGAACUCGCUGUGAAGAUGCAGUGUACCCGCGGCAAGACGGAAAGACCCCGUGAACCUUUACUAUAGCUUGACACUGAACAUUGAGCCUUGAUGUGUAGGAUAGGUGGGAGGCUUUGAAGCGUGGACGCCAGUCUGCGUGGAGCCAACCUUGAAAUACCACCCUUUAAUGUUUGAUGUUCUAACGUUGGCCCCUGACCGGGGUUGCGGACAGUGUCUGGUGGGUAGUUUGACUGGGGCGGUCUCCUCCCAAAGCGUAACGGAGGAGCACGAAGGUUAGCUAAUCCUGGUCGGACAUCAGGAGGUUAGUGCAAUGGCAUAAGCUAGCUUGACUGCGAGCGUGACGGCGCGAGCAGGUGCGAAAGCAGGUCAUAGUGAUCCGGUGGUUCUGAAUGGAAGGGCCAUCGCUCAACGGAUAAAAGGUACUCCGGGGAUAACAGGCUGAUACCGCCCAAGAGUUCAUAUCGACGGCGGUGUUUGGCACCUCGAUGUCGGCUCAUCACAUCCUGGGGCUGAAGUAGGUCCCAAGGGUAUGGCUGUUCGCCAUUUAAAGUGGUACGCGAGCUGGGUUUAGAACGUCGUGAGACAGUUCGGUCCCUAUCUGCCGUGGGCGCUGGAGAAUUGAGGGGGGCUGCUCCUAGUACGAGAGGACCGGAGUGGACGCAUCACUGGUGUUCGGGUUGUCAUGCCAAUGGCACUGCCCGGUAGCUAAAUGCGGAAGAGAUAAGUGCUGAAAGCAUCUAAGCACGAAACUUGCCCCGAGAUGAGUUCUCCCUGAGACUUUAAGUCUCCUGAAGGAACGUUAAAGACGAUGACGUUGAUAGGCCGGGUGUGUAAGCGCAGCGAUGCGUUGAGCUAACCGGUACUAAUGAACCGUGAGGCUUAACCUU